CUCUGGCAUAUAGGCUCUUUCUUUCUUCUGACCUCCCCUCCAACCACCCUCACCCCUUCACCUCCCCCACUGUUCCUUCUACUCCAGGUCUACAACCUACACAUUUGUUCCUUUUCUCUUUUAUUGUAGACUACUUGGAUGCUUCAGCAACAGAGAGAAAAAGGCAAAUUUUCAGCUUUUUUCCCAAGAAAAUGGAACAGUAACAGAAGAUAUACAAUCAGGAAGGAUUUAUGAGGGCUUUCCUGAAGGCAAACUGGCUCUUUUGAGACUAUGGUGGCUGCUCAGCUAUUCUUUCUCAUCAGCCUGCUCUUUGUCAUCCAGCUGGAGCAGAGCCGAGGGAAGGACAUCUCAUUAGGUGAUAAUCUCCUGGAUCCAGAAAAACAUCAAGGAGGCAAUGAGGUCAUCACUUCAUCUCCUGUACUGGAAACAGAACUGGAUCAAGACAGCAUAGGAUAC
Cyprinodon variegatus (sheepshead minnow) is the source of this 456-nucleotide long non-coding RNA. RefSeq lists it as uncharacterized. NCBI's taxonomy places the organism in Eukaryota, Metazoa, Chordata, Actinopteri, Cyprinodontiformes, Cyprinodontidae. The transcript has 3 exons. The record is from RefSeq and is a predicted model, not a curated record.